This is a long non-coding RNA of Homo sapiens (human), 250 nucleotides long. The record is from Ensembl. NCBI's taxonomy places the organism in Eukaryota, Metazoa, Chordata, Mammalia, Primates, Hominidae.
GAACGUCCUCACCUGAAAUUGAAAGGUAGAACAAAGGCAGUCAAGGGUGCAAGGAUAUUAGAAGCUGUGUUCUGUGAGCUUUCAUGAAGGCUGUGGAAGGAUCCAGGCAGGAUGGCCUCAAAUUAAGAUUUUAAUGACUCUUUGGUUUAGAAAACACACUCUUGCUGUUAACGCUAUCUUAUCAGGUAUCAUUUUUGAAUUCACAGAUGAAAGUUAAAAAAUUCAUAAUUAUACAAAUACUUGCCUUGUA